CUGCGAAUGGCUCAUUAAAUCAGUUAUCGUUUAUUUGAUAGUACCUUACUACUUGGAUAACCGUGGUAAUUCUAGAGCUAAUACAUGCUAAAAACCCCGACUUUUGGAGGGGUGUAUUUAUUAGAUAAAAAACCAAUGCCCUUCGGGGCUCCUUGGUGAUUCAUAAUAACUUAACGAAUCGCAUGGCCUUGUGCCGGCGAUGGUUCAUUCAAAUUUCUGCCCUAUCAACUUUCGAUGGUUAGGUCUUGGCUAACCAUGGUUUCAACGGGUAACGGGGAAUUAGGGUUCUAUUCCGGAGAGUGAGCCUGAGAAACGGCUAACACAUCCAAGGAAGGCAGCAGGCGCGCAAAUUACCCAAUCCCGACACGGGGAGGUAGUGACAAUAAAUACUGAUCCAGGGCUCUUUUGGGUCUUGGAAUUGGAAUGAGUACAAUUUAAAUCCCUUAACGAGGAACAAUUGGAGGGCAAGUCUGGUGCCAGCAGCCGCGGUAAUUCCAGCUCCAAUAGCGUAUAUUAAAGUUGUUGCAGUUAAAAAGCUCGUAGUUGAACCUUGGGUUUGGCUGGUCGGUCCGCCUCACCGCGUGUACUGGUCCGGCCGAAUCUUUCCUUCUGGGGAAUCGCAUGCCCUUCACUGGGUGUGUCGAGGAUCCAGGACUUUUACUUUGAAAAAAUUAGAGUGUUCAAAGCAGGCCUAUGCUCGAAUACAUUAGCAUGGAAUAAUAGAAUAGGACGUGUGGUUCUAUUUUGUUGGUUUCUAGGACCGCCGUAAUGAUUAAUAGGGAUAGUCGGGGGCAUCAGUAUUCAAUUGUCAGAGGUGAAAUUCUUGGAUUUAUUGAAGACUAACUACUGCGAAAGCAUUUGCCAAGGAUGUUUUCAUUAAUCAGUGAACGAAAGUUAGGGGAUCGAAGACGAUCAGAUACCGUCGUAGUCUUAACCAUAAACUAUGCCGACUAGGGAUCGGGCGAUGUUACUUUUUUGACUCGCUCGGCACCUUACGAGA
RNAcentral lists this ribosomal RNA (1000 nucleotides) under Tetracladium ellipsoideum. RNAcentral describes it as "SSU rRNA". It matches the Rfam family "Eukaryotic small subunit ribosomal RNA", at positions 87 to 1095 of the family's 1831-position model. The record is from RNAcentral. Lineage: Eukaryota; Fungi; Ascomycota; Leotiomycetes; Helotiales.